GUCUUGGUCGAUUAGUGGUUAAAUCAUCUCGUUGUGGCAGUGCCAUUUGGCGUUUGACAUAACCGAGAAGCCGAGGGCUCGACUCCCUCCCGAGACA
Non-coding RNA from Marasmius oreades (fairy-ring Marasmius), 97 nucleotides. The record is from the annotation of a RefSeq genome assembly. NCBI's taxonomy places the organism in Eukaryota, Fungi, Basidiomycota, Agaricomycetes, Agaricales, Marasmiaceae.